RNAcentral lists this long non-coding RNA (1141 nucleotides) under Marmota monax (woodchuck). The record is from RNAcentral. Lineage: Eukaryota; Metazoa; Chordata; Mammalia; Rodentia; Sciuridae.
AAUGCACAAAAUAUAAUCAAAUAGCAUUUUUUUAAUGUAUAAGGUGGGAGGAUGGAAAGCCCAAUUCAAAGAUCCUGGGCUUUUAUCUCUAGAUGACAGAUUUUAAAUCUCCCACAGCUGAGAUGGUAGAGUAUGGGUGUCUUUAGCAAGCAGUUCUGUCAAUCCCAGCCAUCACUUCUCAUUUAUUACUUAACAGCAUACCAGGAAGAAACCUUAGGUCACAGGUAUGCACUGAAUGUGUUAUUAAUUUAUCCUUUGGAUAUUCAAGAUUUAUCUGACAAGAAAACUUUGAUACUCAUGUCACACUAAAAUCUUCAACUUCAUAGCUGUUGUUUGGACUCUCAUUUUCAAUUAAACCAAGUAUGGAUACUAAUGUUGAUGGCAAUGAAUAUAAAGCUUGUAAUCAACAGAUAUGACAUAAAAUCUGUUUUAAUAUGACCUAUAAUAAUUCUAAGAUACAUGUCUGAAUAUCAUAAAUUAAUUGGGUGGUAUUCACCUCAGGUCUCAUUCACAGUGAUGGGAAAAUAUAGGACUCUAAAGAGGCCCAAGACCAGCACAUUUCCCAUAGAUAGUCUCCUUUAUUUUGUUUAAGGAUGUAAGUAGAGCUCUUCAUUUCUCCCACAAAUCUUAUUAGCAUCCCAAGAGAACAAACCACAUAUGAAAAAAUGUAGCAAAAAGACAAAAGUAUGCAUAACUGGGGUGGAGGGAGCCGAGCAAGGCCCCUUGAGAUGUAUAGACACCAACCCAUGUGUCUGGUUGCUUGUGGAAGUAAGUGCAUGAAGAUUGCUGACGGGUUUGCAAUCAUAUCAAAUAUCCACAGGACAUGUCAAGUGCACGUGCUAAUACUCGUUCCAAAAUGAGACAAUGUUCAUGUGACUCUUUUAGAAAGUCCUUACAAAUGGGCAUGAUUAUAUCUCACUCCUUUGUUUAAAAAAUAAUAAUAAUUUGUUAAAAAAAAUUGAAGUGAAGGUUUCAUAUAAAAUAAAAACUUGUGUGAUUUUAUUCAUUACUCUGAAUAGUGCAUUUUUUUCUUGUUGUAAUUUAAUUCCCAUGUUAAGUCAGGACACCAUUUAUGGCUUAAGAAAAUUAGGAGAAAUAAAAGGUCAGUCUAGGGUUAGAUGUGGUAGUGGAAAACUAUCUG